RNAcentral lists this ribosomal RNA (253 nucleotides) under uncultured bacterium. Its description in RNAcentral is "partial 16S ribosomal RNA". It matches the Rfam family "Bacterial small subunit ribosomal RNA", at positions 524 to 776 of the family's 1533-position model. The record is from RNAcentral.
UACGGGGGGGGCAAGCGUUGUUCGGAAUUACUGGGCGUAAAGGGCUCGUAGGCGGCCAACUAAGUCAGACGUGAAAUCCCUCGGCUUAACCGGGGAACUGCGUCUGAUACUGGAUGGCUUGAAUUCGGGAGAGGGAUGCGGAAUUCCAGGUGUAGCGGUGAAAUGCGUAGAUAUCUGGAGGAACACCGGUGGCGAAGGCGGCAUCCUGGUUGGAUACUGACGCUGAUACGCGAAAGCUAGGGGAGCAAACGGG